AUCCUUUGCAGACGACUUAA
This 20-nucleotide small nuclear RNA is filed under the name Arabidopsis thaliana (thale cress). RNAcentral describes it as "snRNA_11544". The record is from RNAcentral. Lineage: Eukaryota; Viridiplantae; Streptophyta; Magnoliopsida; Brassicales; Brassicaceae.